AGGAAAUUGCAACUUUUGGCCCAAAGGUUUGAAUAAUUAAAUUCAAACCUAUAGUUUUUUUUAAUAUAAUUUUGGGACUCACAAUCUCAUUUUUAUAUUAUUUUUCUCUCUUCCUCUCACGUUGCUCGGCGUUUUCUCGCAAGGGGGGAUUAUUUUCUUUUUCUUCAGAUUAUAUUGACAAAGAUAGUGGUGAAAGAGGAGUUGUGAAGGGGAACUUGUUAUUCAAGACACAAGGAGCGAAUCCGGCCGAGAAAGCACCAAAGGUGUAAUUAUGGUGUAUGAGACACCAUCUUUUACGUUGCCUCUUAUUUUGGAUUAUACAAUGUAUCUUGUGCCAACUUAGGACAUAUCUUGUCUAUGGAGCAUGUAAACUCUAAUCCUUUUUAUUAAAUGCAUUUAUAUGUCCAAGAGGAUUAUGUCUGUC
This is a long non-coding RNA of Prosopis cineraria, 424 nucleotides long. RefSeq lists it as uncharacterized. The record is from RefSeq and is a predicted model, not a curated record. The transcript has 3 exons. Lineage: Eukaryota; Viridiplantae; Streptophyta; Magnoliopsida; Fabales; Fabaceae.